Molecule: long non-coding RNA, 705 nt
Filed under: Phoenix dactylifera (date palm)
Lineage: Eukaryota; Viridiplantae; Streptophyta; Magnoliopsida; Arecales; Arecaceae
Description: long non-coding RNA (PDAC_LNC019226)
Source: RNAcentral
AAUUAGUAACCAUGCUGCACAAACACUCAAAUAAUAAUUCCACUCAUGACAUCCACCAACCUAAGCUCAUCAGUCACUAUCAGUUUCAAGACUCCGGAAGAAUUUCACGGAAGGAUACAGCAUCUUAUUCCACAGCCAUAAGCUACCAUAGACCUUGCUUUUCCUCGGUGUCCUGAUUCUCGUUUGGUUCUAGAUCUAUAGAAAUUCAACGAGAACAUCAUAUUUCAAAUUCUCCUGAAGGCAGCAGGAUUCCAAUAACCUAAAAAUAGAUUUCAAGACCAGAUAAUCAUUCCAAUCAGAUAAACUCUAACUCUAUUUUUGAUUAUUCAAGCCCACACCAAACUACAACCUUUACAAAUGCAAGUUGCUAUGUAUCUCAAAGGGAGCAGUUCUAUGCAACUCAGAGUUCGGAUCCUCUGCAGCACGUAUUAAGUAGGAUUUCAAAGUAAAUAAUAUUAUGAAGCAUGAUGACCCAAUAUCAUCAUUUACCCCAUUCGUGAGCAACAAAAUGCUAGCAGGGACACUACACGGACCCUUGACUGCCUUCAUGUCGUAGACACCUUCUAAAACAUUGCAAUCAAGGACUAAUUCAAUUUAGAGAAUCUAGCAUAAAUUGGUCAAAAUGCAGAAAACAUAUUACAAAAAAAAUAAAAAAGUUUAUCUACUAUCCAGCUCAACAAAAUCUAAGAAGAUUUUAGAAAAUUU